Molecule: ribosomal RNA, 253 nt
Filed under: uncultured bacterium
Lineage: Bacteria
Description: partial 16S ribosomal RNA
Rfam family: Bacterial small subunit ribosomal RNA
Source: RNAcentral
UACAGAGGUGGCAAGCGUUGUUCGGAAUUACUGGGCGUAAAGGGCGCAUAGGCGGCCAUCUAAGUCAGACGUGAAAUCCCCCGGCUUAACCUGGGAACUGCGUCUGAUACUGGAAGGCUUGAGUAUGGGAGAGGGAUGUAGAAUUCCAGGUGUAGCGGUGAAAUGCGUAGAUAUCUGGAGGAAUACCGGUGGCGAAGGCGGCAUCCUGGACCAUUACUGACGCUGAGGCGCGAAAGCUAGGGGAGCAAACGGG